This 468-nucleotide ribosomal RNA is filed under the name uncultured bacterium. Its description in RNAcentral is "partial 16S ribosomal RNA". It matches the Rfam family "Bacterial small subunit ribosomal RNA", at positions 28 to 507 of the family's 1533-position model. The record is from RNAcentral.
GACGAACGCUGGCGGCGUGCUUAACACAUGCAAGUCGAACGGAAAGGCCCUGCUUUUGUGGGGUGCUCGAGUGGCGAACGGGUAAGUAGCACGUGAGUAACCUGCCCUUGACUUUGGGAUAACUUCAGGAAACUGGGGCUACUACCAGAUAGGAGCUCCUGCUGCAUGGUGGGGGUUGGAAAGUUUCGGCGGUUGGGGUUGGACUCGCGGCUUAUCAGCUUGUUGGUGGGGUAGUGGCUUACCAAGGCUUUGACGGGUAGGCGGCCCGAGAGGGUGACCGGCGACAUUGGGACUGAGAGACGGCGCAGACGGCUACGUUAGGCAGCAGUGGGGAAUAUUGCACAAUGGGCGGAAGUGUGAUGCAGCAACGCUGCGGGUGUGAUGACGUUUUGUGGGUUGAGAAACGCUGUCGCUUGUUACGAAGCUGUUGUGACGGUAACGAGUAAAGAAGCACCGGCUAACUACGUG